Non-coding RNA from Potamilus streckersoni, 77 nucleotides. The record is from the annotation of a GenBank genome assembly. Lineage: Eukaryota; Metazoa; Mollusca; Bivalvia; Unionida; Unionidae.
GACCGCUCCGGGAGCCUAGUAGUUAGAGCGUCGACCUCAGAUGUUGAAGGUCACUGGUUCAAAUCCCGACCGAGUCA